Molecule: small RNA, 125 nt
Filed under: Marmota monax (woodchuck)
Lineage: Eukaryota; Metazoa; Chordata; Mammalia; Rodentia; Sciuridae
Source: RNAcentral
GCUGGGUGUCGUGGUGCACACCUGUAAUCCCAGGAGCGUGGGAAGGUGAGACAGGAGGAUAGGGAGUUCAUAGCCAGUCUCAGCAAUGUUGAUGCGCUAAGCAACUCAGUGAGACCCUGUCUCUA